UCAAUAAGCGGAGGAAAAGAAACCAACCGGGAUUGCCCUAGUAACGGCGAGUGAAGCGGCAAGAGCUCAAAUUUGAAAGCUGGCUCCUUCGGGGUCCGCAUUGUAAUUUGCAGAGGAUGCUUCGGGAGCGGUCCCCAUCUAAGUGCCCUGGAACGGGCCGUCAUAGAGGGUGAGAAUCCCGUAUGGGAUGGGGUGCCCGCGCCCGUGUGAAGCUCCUUCGACGAGUCGAGUUGUUUGGGAAUGCAGCUCUAAUUGGGUGGUAAAUUUCAUCUAAAGCUAAAUAUUGGCCGGAGACCGAUAGCGCACAAGUAGAGUGAUCGAAAGAUGAAAAGCACUUUGAAAAGAGAGUUAAACAGCACGUGAAAUUGUUGAAAGGGAAGCGCUUGCGAUCAGACUCGCUCGCGGGGUUCAGCCGGCCUUCGGGCCGGUGUACUUCCCCGCGGGCGGGCCAGCGUCGGUUUGGGCGGCCGGUCAAAGGCCCCUGGAAUGUAACGCCUCUCGGGGCGUCUUAUAGCCAGGGGUGCCAUGCGGCCUGCCCGGACCGAGGAACGCGCUUCGGCUCGGACGCUGGCAUAAUGGUCGUAAGCGACCCGUCUUGAAACACGGACCAAGGAGUCUAACAUCUACGCGAGUGUUCGGGUGUCAAACCCGUGCGCGCAGUGAAAGCGAACGGAGGUGGGAACCCCUCGGGGUGCACCAUCGACCGAUCCUGAUGUCUUCGGAUGGAUUUGAGUAAGAGCGUAGCUGUUGGGACCCGAAAGAUGGUGAACUAUGCCUGAAUAGGGCGAAGCCAGAGGAAACUCUGGUGGAGGCUCGCAGCGGUUCUGACGUGCAAAUCGAUCGUCAAAUUUGGGUAUAGGGGCGAAAGACUAAUCGAACCAUCUAGUAGCUG
This 892-nucleotide ribosomal RNA is filed under the name Penicillium sp. DV-2018a. RNAcentral describes it as "LSU rRNA". It matches the Rfam family "Eukaryotic large subunit ribosomal RNA", at positions 43 to 953 of the family's 3401-position model. Lineage: Eukaryota; Fungi; Ascomycota; Eurotiomycetes; Eurotiales; Aspergillaceae. The record is from RNAcentral.